UCUUCAAAACAUCCUUGGCAAAACAUUACAGGAAGAGGAAAUGAAAAAUAACAAAGAAAACCAACAGCGGGAGGUAGUACAGUAAAGGAAAAACUAAGCAUAGAGGAAAAACAAAUCAUGUUAAACAACUUACAUAAUCAAAUAUGGCUGGAAAUACAAAACAUAUCUCAAUAGUAACCCUAAAUGUUAAUGGCUUAAAUGCACCAAUCAAAAGACAUAGGCUAGUAGAAUGGAUUAAAAAAAAAGAUCCAACAAUAUGCUGCCUACAGGAGACUCAUCUGAUAGGAAAAGACAUACACAGACUGAAAGUGAAAGGUUGGGAAAAAUCAUAUCACGCAUACGGACCAUGGAAGCAGGCAGGGGUAUCCAUACUUGUAUCAAAUAAAAUAGACUUCAAGCCAAAGUUAAUCAAAAGGGAUAAACAAGGACACUACAUACUGCUCAAGGGAACCAUACACCAACAAGACUUGACGAUCAUUAAUGGUGCAGCUACGUUCAUCAAACAAACUCUUCUCAAGUUCAAGAGUCAAAUAGACCACAACACAAUAAUCAUGGGAGAUUUUAACACACCUCUCUCACCACUGGACAGAUCUUCUAAACAAAAGUUGAAUAAAGAAACGAUAGAGCUCAAUAAUACAAUUAAUAAUUUAGACUUAAUUGAUAUAUACAGAAUAUACCACCCAACAUCAAGCGGAUACACUUUCUUCUC
RNAcentral lists this long non-coding RNA (709 nucleotides) under Marmota monax (woodchuck). Lineage: Eukaryota; Metazoa; Chordata; Mammalia; Rodentia; Sciuridae. The record is from RNAcentral.